RNAcentral lists this ribosomal RNA (253 nucleotides) under uncultured bacterium. RNAcentral's name for it is "partial 16S ribosomal RNA". It matches the Rfam family "Bacterial small subunit ribosomal RNA", at positions 524 to 776 of the family's 1533-position model. The record is from RNAcentral.
GACGUAGGAUGCAAGCGUUGUCCGGAUUUAUUGGGCGUAAAGAGUUCGUAGGCGGUUCGUUAAGUCUGAUGUUAAAGAUCGGGGCUCAACCCUGGGAGUGCAUUGGAUACUGGCGAACUGGAGUGCGGUAGAGGCUAGUGGAAUUCCCAGUGUAGCGGUGAAAUGCGUAGAUAUUGGGAAGAACACCAGUGGCGUAGGCGACUAGCUGGGCCGUAACUGACGCUGAGGAACGAAAGCCAGGGGAGCGAAUGGG